RNAcentral lists this ribosomal RNA (439 nucleotides) under uncultured bacterium. Its description in RNAcentral is "partial 16S ribosomal RNA". It matches the Rfam family "Bacterial small subunit ribosomal RNA", at positions 339 to 795 of the family's 1533-position model. The record is from RNAcentral.
CUACGGGGUGCAGCAGUGGGGAAUCUUGGACAAUGGGCGCAAGCCUGAUCCAGCCAUGCCGCGUGAGUGAAGAAGGCCUUAGGGUCGUAAAGCUCUUUCGCCAGAGAUGAUAAUGACAGUAUCUGGUAAAGAAACCCCGGCUAACUCCGUGCCAGCAGCCGCGGUAAUACGGAGGGGGUUAGCGUUGUUCGGAAUUACUGGGCGUAAAGCGCGCGUAGGCGGAUUCGUCAGUCAGAGGUGAAAUCCCAGGGCUCAACCCUGGAACUGCCUUUGAUACUGCUAGUCUUGAGUUCGAGAGAGGUGAGUGGAAUUCCGAGUGUAGAGGUGAAAUUCGUAGAUAUUCGGAGGAACACCAGUGGCGAAGGCGGCUCACUGGCUCGAUACUGACGCUGAGGUGCGAAAGCGUGGGGAGCAAACAGGAUUAGAUACCCUUGUAGUC